CAAGUUUCCCCUUUACUCAGAGCUACAGUACACAGGCUACAUCUGUCCUUAGUGGAUCUGGCUGCCUUUCUUACCUACUUAAAUAUAACUUUCAACUUACUGUGCCGAUAUAUUUGCUUGCAGCAGUACGGGUAUUGGGUUCUCCUUAUCGCUCCUGACAUGGAAAGGAAGAAAUGUAAUCUUAAGUGAAAUGUUCAGACUUCUCGUGAAUAGCCCCAGGAAAGGAAAGAACUGGAUAUGUUUUGGAGAGAUACACUCUCAGCAUGACUGGAAGGAAAAUUAAGAAGUGUCUUGCCAGCUCUUAAACUGUGUAACAGAGAACAAUUACUCUUCAUUGGAUGAUGCUGUAAGAGAAGGCAUGUGGAAACAACAAGUGGUUAUAUCAUGCUGUUGUAUAGUACUAAAUCUGUCUUCAGUCCCUCCCCUUAGCUGUGAAUCAGUUUAAUCUGCCAAAUUAUUAUUGUUCUUAAUACUUCCCAAAGAGUUUUCUAAAUUAAUGGGCCAAGAAGUUACUGUUUUUACGGUGUUUACAUCCUCUUUAUCACGGUACACUUUGAAGUUAGAGAUAGUUUAUGAUUUUUCAUUUAUUUAUUUAUGUAUUUAUGUAUCAAGUGAUUCCACAAAUAAAAACUCACACACACAUAAAAAAAAAUACACAAAAAACAACAAGAAAAAAAAACACAACUUGUACUCUUUCCUUUUUUCACUCAAUAAAAAAUGACAUUUAUUGGACUUACAGAAGGAAAAAAAAAGGGGGAGAAGUGAUACAUUCACAGAGUUGCUCUGUAAAUAAAUAUGCUUCCAUCUAUUACAUAUUUAUAAGAUUUAUUGUUUUUAUCAGGUUUAUUCUUUUUCAAUGUUUUGGGAAGAAAAAAAUACACAAAAACAAUUCACUUGAGAAAUAGAACUGCUAGAGAAAAAUUCUUCACCCUCACAGAAAAAAAAAGGUAUCAGUAGUUAGACUGCUCAAAAUAUUAGCUAUGAAUGUUGCUUUGUUAUAACAUAAUUUUCUUCUUUAAUAAAAUUUAUUUAUUUUUAUAUAUGUCAAUUCUGGAAUGAAUUCCUGCCUAGGACAUUUCACAUACUAAGUUGUAAAAAAUUAAAGUCUUACAUUUAAGUGAUGCAACUGCCUGAGUGGAAAGCGUUGUGGAUUGUAUAUGGGGCUGAGAGCCAUAAAAUCUUGGACUCUGGACCCUUUUUUGAUGCUGAGCAGCCUAUAUAAUUUUUUGUACUUACACAAUGCUCAGCAAACAUUAUUAAUUUAAGCUUCACACAGUCACUGUGCAGUACAGAGGUGUAAUUAUCUCACUUUUUCAAGUGGGAGAACUGAGACUCAUAGAGGUUAUGCUCUGCAAUAAAACAAGUUCAGAAAUAUGGUGGGAACCAAGGUCACUUGGCACUUAUUCCUGUUCCUGGUCUGCUGGAGUACUAUGUAAAGCCUCAACCCCUUUGCCUGGCAUAUGGGGUUAAUGUUACUUUCCUCUUUGCAGCUGCUUGUGCUGAAAUUCAUGCCAGGCAGUAGAAGAAGAUAUCCAUCUGUGGAACCCAUCUUCCAUGGAAGGUCAAUGAGUACUUUACUUGACUGCCAUGACUUCAAAUUUGAUGGAUAGAAUGCAUUGACAAAAGGGGCUUAAGAAAAGACGUUAUGAGAGUUGAAAACCGGAGUGUUCUGGAGUCUGAAGUUUUCAUGUCCUACAUAGUGUGAUGAGACAAAAGGCAUCCAACUACCAAUAUUUAUCCCACCAAUGGAUUAAUUUAUGCUGUGAAUAUCUGGGAAGAAAAAUCAGUGGAUUUGGCUGCUAAUUUCAUCUGAAUACUGUGGAUUUGGGAAAAGUCCAGGAAUGCUUCUUAAGCCUGCUUACAUAUGUAAAGAACCAUAAUCGAGAUUUGUCUUCUCAAGUCUGUCUCAAGUUUUAGGUUCUUCAGAUCUGGUAGUUUAGCAUACCUUUGUGGAAAUUCACUGAAGCUGUGAGAUUUAUAAUAUGCUGAUAAACUCCAUUUCUAUGGCUCUGAAUUUAUAGUCAAUAGAAGUAUAUAUUUUUGCUGGAACUUAUUGUAGCAGCACGUUAAAAACAAGAGGAUACAUAUUUAUGAGAAAAUUAAUAUUUUGAAUAUAUUUGAAAAAUGUUUUUCAAAAUAAAAAAUAUUUUUAAAAAUAAAAAAUGAAAAAUAUUUUUCAUUAACAUGAAAUAUUAACAUGAAAAAUAUUUUCAUUAACAUGAAAAAUAUUUUCGUGUUUACAUUUUUAUUUCCAAACGUUCUCUUGGCUUAGUUAUGAUAGGUUAGUCAAGCAAUGUCUUACACCUGUCAUGAAAUACUGAUGUUAACAUACUAUUUUUGUCUACACAAUCUUCCCCAAUUUCUUGUGUAUUUGGCCUAAUUUUCCACAAGUCUUUUCCAGUCUUCAAACAUCAAAAUUUUAACCAUGAUAUUUAAUGCAAUUCACUGUAUUUUUGCAUUUUGCUUUAUUCCUAUACUACCUUCAUUGUUCUAGUCCAACACAUGACAGAUAUGGUAUUUUCAU
Long non-coding RNA from Anas platyrhynchos (mallard), 2524 nucleotides. RefSeq lists it as uncharacterized. The record is from RefSeq and is a predicted model, not a curated record. NCBI's taxonomy places the organism in Eukaryota, Metazoa, Chordata, Aves, Anseriformes, Anatidae.